UAAACAAUAUACUUUGAGGGGAGCAUU
RNAcentral lists this small RNA (27 nucleotides) under Bombyx mori (domestic silkworm). RNAcentral describes it as "ovarian small RNA-18094". The record is from RNAcentral. Lineage: Eukaryota; Metazoa; Arthropoda; Insecta; Lepidoptera; Bombycidae.